This 2930-nucleotide ribosomal RNA is filed under the name Shigella dysenteriae. RNAcentral describes it as "23S ribosomal RNA". It matches the Rfam family "Bacterial large subunit ribosomal RNA". The record is from RNAcentral. Lineage: Bacteria; Pseudomonadati; Pseudomonadota; Gammaproteobacteria; Enterobacterales; Enterobacteriaceae.
GGGUUGUGAGGUUAAGCGACUAAGCGUACACGGUGGAUGCCCUGGCAGUCAGAGGCGAUGAAGGACGUGCUAAUCUGCGAUAAGCGUCGGUAAGGUGAUAUGAACCGUUAUAACCGGCGAUUUCCGAAUGGGGAAACCCAGUGUGAUUCGUCACACUAUCAUUAACUGAAUCCAUAGGUUAAUGAGGCGAACCGGGGGAACUGAAACAUCUAAGUACCCCGAGGAAAAGAAAUCAACCGAGAUUCCCCCAGUAGCGGCGAGCGAACGGGGAGCAGCCCAGAGCCUGAAUCAGUGUGUGUGUUAGUGGAAGCGUCUGGAAAGGCGUGCGAUACAGGGUGACAGCCCCGUACACAAAAAUGCACAUAUUGUGAGCUCGAUGAGUAGGGCGGGACACGUGGUAUCCUGUCUGAAUAUGGGGGGACCAUCCUCCAAGGCUAAAUACUCCUGACUGACCGAUAGUGAACCAGUACCGUGAGGGAAAGGCGAAAAGAACCCCGGCGAGGGGAGUGAAAAAGAACCUGAAACCGUGUACGUACAAGCAGUGGGAGCACGCUUAGGCGUGUGACUGCGUACCUUUUGUAUAAUGGGUCAGCGACUUAUAUUCUGUAGCAAGGUUAACCGAAUAGGGGAGCCGAAGGGAAACCGAGUCUUAACUGGGCGUUAAGUUGCAGGGUAUAGACCCGAAACCCGGUGAUCUAGCCAUGGGCAGGUUGAAGGUUGGGUAACACUAACUGGAGGACCGAACCGACUAAUGUUGAAAAAUUAGCGGAUGACUUGUGGCUGGGGGUGAAAGGCCAAUCAAACCGGGAGAUAGCUGGUUCUCCCCGAAAGCUAUUUAGGUAGCGCCUCGUGAAUUCAUCUCCGGGGGUAGAGCACUGUUUCGGCAAGGGGGUCAUCCCGACUUACCAACCCGAUGCAAACUGCGAAUACCGGAGAAUGUUAUCACGGGAGACACACGGCGGGUGCUAACGUCCGUCGUGAAGAGGGAAACAACCCAGACCGCCAGCUAAGGUCCCAAAGUCAUGGUUAAGUGGGAAACGAUGUGGGAAGGCCCAGACAGCCAGGAUGUUGGCUUAGAAGCAGCCAUCAUUUAAAGAAAGCGUAAUAGCUCACUGGUCGAGUCGGCCUGCGCGGAAGAUGUAACGGGGCUAAACCAUGCACCGAAGCUGCGGCAGCGACACUAUGUGUUGUUGGGUAGGGGAGCGUUCUGUAAGCCUGUGAAGGUGUACUGUGAGGUAUGCUGGAGGUAUCAGAAGUGCGAAUGCUGACAUAAGUAACGAUAAAGCGGGUGAAAAGCCCGCUCGCCGGAAGACCAAGGGUUCCUGUCCAACGUUAAUCGGGGCAGGGUGAGUCGACUCCUAAGGCGAGGCCGAAAGGCGUAGUCGAUGGGAAACAGGUUAAUAUUCCUGUACUUGGUGUUACUGCGAAGGGGGGACGGAGAAGGCUAUGUUGGCCGGGCGACGGUUGUCCCGGUUUAAGCGUGUAGGCUGGUUUUCCAGGCAAAUCCGGAAAACUAAGGCUGAGGCGUGAUGACGAGGCACUACGGUGCUGAAGCAACAAAUGCCCUGCUUCCAGGAAAAGCCUCUAAGCAUCAGGUAACAUCAAAUCGUACCCCAAACCGACACAGGUGGUCAGGUAGAGAAUACCAAGGCGCUUGAGAGAACUCGGGUGAAGGAACUAGGCAAAAUGGUGCCGUAACUUCGGGAGAAGGCACGCUGAUAUGUAGGUGAAGUCCCUCGCGGAUGGAGCUGAAAUCAGUCGAAGAUACCAGCUGGCUGCAACUGUUUAUUAAAAACACAGCACUGUGCAAACACGAAAGUGGACGUAUACGGUGUGACGCCUGCCCGGUGCCGGAAGGUUAAUUGAUGGGGUCAGCGCAAGCGAAGCUCUUGAUCGAAGCCCCGGUAAACGGCGGCCGUAACUAUAACGGUCCUAAGGUAGCGAAAUUCCUUGUCGGGUAAGUUCCGACCUGCACGAAUGGCGUAAUGAUGGCCAGGCUGUCUCCACCCGAGACUCAGUGAAAUUGAACUCGCUGUGAAGAUGCAGUGUACCCGCGGCAAGACGGAAAGACCCCGUGAACCUUUACUAUAGCUUGACACUGAACAUUGAGCCUUGAUGUGUAGGAUAGGUGGGAGGCUUUGAAGUGUGGACGCCAGUCUGCAUGGAGCCGACCUUGAAAUACCACCCUUUAAUGUUUGAUGUUCUAACGUUGACCCGUAAUCCGGGUUGCGGACAGUGUCUGGUGGGUAGUUUGACUGGGGCGGUCUCCUCCUAAAGAGUAACGGAGGAGCACGAAGGUUGGCUAAUCCUGGUCGGACAUCAGGAGGUUAGUGCAAUGGCAUAAGCCAGCUUGACUGCGAGCGUGACGGCGCGAGCAGGUGCGAAAGCAGGUCAUAGUGAUCCGGUGGUUCUGAAUGGAAGGGCCAUCGCUCAACGGAUAAAAGGUACUCCGGGGAUAACAGGCUGAUACCGCCCAAGAGUUCAUAUCGACGGCGGUGUUUGGCACCUCGAUGUCGGCUCAUCACAUCCUGGGGCUGAAGUAGGUCCCAAGGGUAUGGCUGUUCGCCAUUUAAAGUGGUACGCGAGCUGGGUUUAGAACGUCGUGAGACAGUUCGGUCCCUAUCUGCCGUGGGCGCUGGAGAACUGAGGGGGGCUGCUCCUAGUACGAGAGGACCGGAGUGGACGCAUCACUGGUGUUCGGGUUGUCAUGCCAAUGGCACUGCCCGGUAGCUACAUGCGGCAGAGAUAAGUGCUGAAAGCAUCUAAGCACGAAACUUGCCCCGAGAUGAGUUCUCCCUGACUCCUUGAGAGUCCUGAAGGAACGUUGAAGACGACGACGUUGAUAGGUCGGGUGUGUAAGCGCAGCGAUGCGUUGAGCUAACCGGUACUAAUGAACCGUGAGGCUUAACCUUACAACGCCGAAGGUGUUU